RNAcentral lists this ribosomal RNA (253 nucleotides) under uncultured bacterium. Its description in RNAcentral is "partial 16S ribosomal RNA". It matches the Rfam family "Bacterial small subunit ribosomal RNA", at positions 524 to 776 of the family's 1533-position model. The record is from RNAcentral.
UACGGAGGAUCCGAGCGUUAUCCGGAUUUAUUGGGUUUAAAGGGAGCGUAGGUGGAUUGUUAAGUCAGUUGUGAAAGUUUGCGGCUCAACCGUAAAAUUGCAGUUGAAACUGGCAGUCUUGAGUACAGUAGAGGUGGGCGGAAUUCGUGGUGUAGCGAUGAAAUGCUUAGAUAUCACGAAGAACUCCGAUUGCGAAGGCAGCUCACUGGACUGCAACUGACACUGAGGCUCGAAAGUGUGGGUAUCAAACAGG